GAGGGUAUAGCUCAAGUGGUAGAGCACACGUUUAACACACAUGAGGUCCCGGGUUCAAUUCCCAGUACCUCCU
This 73-nucleotide transfer RNA is filed under the name Camelus bactrianus (Bactrian camel). It matches the Rfam family "tRNA". From Rfam's summary of the family: Transfer RNA (tRNA) molecules are approximately 80 nucleotides in length. Their secondary structure includes four short double-helical elements and three loops (D, anti-codon, and T loops). Further hydrogen bonds mediate the characteristic L-shaped molecular structure. tRNAs have two regions of fundamental functional importance: the anti-codon, which is responsible for specific mRNA codon recognition, and the 3' end, to which the tRNAs corresponding amino acid is attached (by aminoacyl-tRNA synthetases). tRNAs cope with the degeneracy of the genetic code in two manners: having more than one tRNA (with a specific anti-codon) for a particular amino acid; and 'wobble' base-pairing, i.e. permitting non-standard base-pairing at the 3rd anti-codon position. The record is from Rfam by way of RNAcentral. Lineage: Eukaryota; Metazoa; Chordata; Mammalia; Artiodactyla; Camelidae. RNAcentral also lists the same sequence under 1 other name.